This 256-nucleotide long non-coding RNA is filed under the name Manihot esculenta (cassava). Its description in RNAcentral is "long non-coding RNA (MESC_LNC010097)". The record is from RNAcentral. Lineage: Eukaryota; Viridiplantae; Streptophyta; Magnoliopsida; Malpighiales; Euphorbiaceae.
GAUUAAACAAUGAAUUGAAAAGUAAGUUUAGCUGUCACCCAACAAACUAUUGACAUAAAAAAUAAGAAGCCACCCCACCACCAGCAAACCACCGACCGUCACAGAAUUUGGCUUAAGUUCAAUUUCAUCCACCACCACACAGAGAAGAGAUCUGAGACUGUGAGGUAGAAGUGUCGAUGUGGCCAAAGCCUAAGCCUUUUUCUUCACUCUCGUUUGCCUUGACCGACUCCAUUUCUUUUCUCUGCCUGCUUCUCCA